UACGGAGGGUGCAAGCGUUAUCCGGAUUCACUGGGCGUAAAGGGUGCGUAGGCGGCCGUGCAAGUCUGGCGUGAAAGCCCCGGGCUCAGCCCGGGAAGUGCGCUCGAAACUGCGCGGCUCGAGUGCCGGAGGGGAGAGUGGAAUUCCUGGUGUAGCGGUGAAAUGCGUAGAUAUCAGGAGGAAUACCGGUGGCGAAAGCGACUCUCUGGACGGCAACUGACGCUGAGGCACGAAAGCGUGGGGAGCAAACAGG
RNAcentral lists this ribosomal RNA (253 nucleotides) under uncultured bacterium. Its description in RNAcentral is "partial 16S ribosomal RNA". It matches the Rfam family "Bacterial small subunit ribosomal RNA", at positions 524 to 776 of the family's 1533-position model. The record is from RNAcentral.